This 516-nucleotide ribosomal RNA is filed under the name uncultured archaeon. Its description in RNAcentral is "bacterial SSU rRNA". It matches the Rfam family "Archaeal small subunit ribosomal RNA", at positions 33 to 557 of the family's 1478-position model. The record is from RNAcentral.
UCGGGGUUCGAUUAAGCCAUGCGAGUCGAGAGGGUUCGGCCCUCGGCGUACUGCUCAGUAACACGUGGAUAACCUGCCCUAGGGAAGGGGAUAAUCCCGGGAAACUGGGGAUAAUACCCUAUAGGUUACAGAUGCUGGAAUGCUCUGUAAUCAAAAGUUCCGGCGCCCUAGGAUGGAUCUGCGACCGAUUAGGUUGUUGUUGGGGUAAUGGCCCAACAAGCCAGUAAUCGGUACGGGUUGUGGGAGCAAGAGCCCGGAGUUGGAUUCUGAGACACGAAUCCAGGCCCUACGGGGCGCAGCAGGCGCGAAAACUUUACAAUGCGGGCAACCGUGAUAAGGGAACCUCGAGUGCCUGUAAAUGCAGGCUGUUCAGAUGCCUAAAACACAUCUGGAGAAAGGGCCGGGCAAGACCGGUGCCAGCCGCCGCGGUAAUACCGGCGGCUCGAGUGGUGGCCACUUUUAUUGGGCUUAAAGCGUUCGUAGCUGGGUUGUUAAGUCUCUCGGGAAAUCUGGCGG